Molecule: ribosomal RNA, 425 nt
Filed under: uncultured bacterium
Lineage: Bacteria
Description: partial 16S ribosomal RNA
Rfam family: Bacterial small subunit ribosomal RNA
Source: RNAcentral
GUGGGGAAUUUUGGACAAUGGGGGCAACCCUGAUCCAGCCAUUCCGCGUGAGUGAAGAAGGCCUUCGGGUUGUAAAGCUCUUUCAGUAGGGAAGAUAAUGACGGUACCUACAGAAGAAGCCCCGGCUAACUUCGUGCCAGCAGCCGCGGUAAUACGAAGGGGGCUAGCGUUGUUCGGAUUUACUGGGCGUAAAGCGCACGUAGGCGGAUUGGUCAGUUAGAGGUGAAAUCCCGAAGCUCAACUUCGGAACUGCCUUUAAUACUGCCAGUCUCGAGUCCGGAAGAGGUGAGUGGAACUCCUAGUGUAGAGGUGGAAUUCGUAGAUAUUAGGAAGAACACCAGUGGCGAAGGCGGCUCACUGGUCCGGUACUGACGCUGAGGUGCGAAAGCGUGGGGAGCAAACAGGAUUAGAUACCCUAGUAGUCC